UAGGGCUGGAGUGGGACCCAAGAAUCUGCGCUUUGAUGAACUUCUCGGUGAUGCUGAGGCUGUGUGUUCAGGGGCCACACUCGGAGAAGCUCUGUACUAGAAUAUAUUAUUUCAGGGAAGCGCUAAUAUGACCUGUUCCCUCAAAUGUGCAGCGUAAUCUCGGUGGUCCCCCUGGGUCUUGGAGAGACGAGGACUCUCUUGAGGGUGGAGCAGCAGACCCACAGUUUUGGCUUCUUUCUCUAGCCGAUGGGACCCCCUCUGACAUUGCCACAGCCAGAAGGAAACUAGUCUUGCCCCUUGGGCCUGGCACACAUUCAGUCUUUCCUGUUGGCUGGUAAAUGCGGACGUCUUUGCCUCGCAGCAGCGCCUUGGAUGGUCUCAUUUAUGAGCCGUUCUGAUGAGAAGUUCUCUAGCACCUCUCAAGGCCACAGUGUUGGGCCCGCUAGGGCUUUUCUUGGGGAGGCCUCAAGUGCAGUCACAGUGAGCUUGUGUAUCUUUGCUCCUUUCCUGGCCCCACCUGCCUCUCCAGCCUGGUCCUCCAUUCUCACUUUUCAGCUCCCAGACUCCCACUGGACAUUCUUGCUCUUUCUCCCCAGGGCAUUUUCUGCAAGCCUCUCCACAUCCAGUUAGAGGAAUGCUUGCAUUCAGUGAAGCUGUCUUGUUGUAUUCAAGAGGGUGAAUCCAGACAAUAGUGAGAGAGAGUUUUAGUGGCUGUGGGGCCCUGCUGCCUCCCAGGAGAGGACCAGCCUUCUAACGGAGCUCCUGCAUUUUGGAGCUAGACGGUCUCGUGGAGUGACUGUUUGGAGUAUUAAAUGACUUACUGGAUGCAGGGGUCUUUUGACCAAGGUGUCUGGCCCAGAACAAGAGCUAAGGAAGCUGCCGUGGAGAAGAGCUCGUGCUCAUGCACGAUGAAGGUCAACAUGCAUGUGCAGGAAGGGCAUUUGGAACUCGAAUGACCAGAGGUUAGGCUUUGGACGAGAGCAGUCUUGGUGGAAGGGAUGCAGUAAACAAAGGCCCAAAAGGGGCUGCAGCGAGAGUCUCUAGCAAAGAGAAGACCCCUUGCCUGUUCCUUGAGCCUCUUCUCCCUUUGUACCCACCACGCUUGCUAGGCUAGAAAUCCAGAGAACAUCUCGCCGUUGGAAUCCCAGACCUCCACAGCCCAUGAAAACAUCACUCCCUGCCAGUCUUACCUGCCCUUCCUCAUACCAGGUUUCGGGGUGCUUGCCCCGGCUCAUUGCUGGAAUCACCCCCUCUUUUGGGUGCCAUGUUGCAGAAUGCAUCCUUCUCAUUUUUAGAUCUUAUCUUGUUGCUAUCACUAUGCUUGAAUGCAUUGGGGUUUGUCUCCUCGUUGAACUGCUUUUCUCUCUGUUUGCCAUGGAGACACGCCCAUCUUUCUUUUCUCAGGGCUGGACUCCUGGUGAGGGGUUCAGUGGAUAUUGGCCGAAUGUGUCAAUGGAUAGUGAAUCAGCAAACACAUGAAGGGAUGAGUGCGUAAAAUACAUUCCAACUGAAGAAUAGCCCAAGGCAUAGUGAACAUUUGAUCCCAUAGAUCCUGCUACUCAAAAUGUGGUCCAGAAACCAGCAGCAUCUGUCUCAAAAGAAAUACAGUCUCAGGCCCCGCCUCAGACCUGCUGAACCCGAAUCUUCAUUGUAUCCAGACUCCUGGGCCAUUCACGGGCGUCUCACAGGUUAAGACGACCGGCCUAGCAGUGAAGAGGGACAGCUCUGGCGACUAAGUUCGAAUUCCAGAUCUGCCUCUUACCCCGCUGUGGAGGAGAGCAAAUCGCUUGCUUCCCCUGGGCUGUAGUUUUCAUGUCUAUCAGUUGGAUGUUGCUGAAACUUGGCCUCUGUGCUCCGAUGCUGAAUUCAAUCUCUGAGACAAGAGUUUUAGGUGAAGGAGAAAAGAAGAGCUUUAUUGCUUUGCCAGGCAAAGGGGGACAGGGCGCUAAUGCUUCCAAACACUGUGCGUCCUGCCCUGGAGGAUUUAGUAGGAGUUUUCUAGUCCUGGUUCAAGGACUGUAUGAAUGCGAUAAGGAUCAGGGUGUGUGCUGGGCCUGUGUUCCUUUAAUCUGGCCUCAGGGGGUCUUCCCAUUGCGUGUCUGUGGUUCUCUAGGUUAUCAAAUUGUGACCUUCUCUCUGGAAUGCAGAAGGCUCCAUCAAGUAGUUAACAUCGUCCAUUUGUUGGGUUUAGUUCUGCAGAAGAGCUCGAAGAUACUAUUGUGUGUAUCCCUUGGGGGGAACCAGGACCUGCCCCAGGCUCCUCCCUGGUCUCUGCAUCCCCUCCCUUCCCUGAUUAGCAGCUGUUUAACCUGCCCUUUGGAAUUUGGGAAGGUCCUGGAGGCUGAAGCCUAUUCCUACAAGUAAGAAGUGGUGACACAGAAAGGCUUCCGUGUCCAGGAGCCCCCCAGGGUCCUGUCAAUUUCACGGGCAUAAUGGUAUAGUUACUUGUUGUCUUAUGAGGAUUAAAUGUCUUAGCAGAUGUCAGGUGCCUUGUACAACACCUGGUGAAGGGGAAGGGCUCAAAAAUAUCAGCAGCUCUUUUUCUUGUCCACAUUCGUCUGAUUGCCCGAGAGGCUGUGAGCAAAUGAUCACUGGUGACUGAAGAUCUGAAUAGCCGCUGUGCCUUCGAGUUUCCUCUACGCACCUGUGCCUGGGUGGUGGCGGCCGCCUGGCCUCAGGGUUGUCCCUUCCUGUGUGGGGCUCCCUCCGACGGGCACUGCUGACGUGCGUGGCGUGGCCUUCCUCUUAGCAGCCACGCCACAGACCUGGAGCUUCCUGGAGCUGAGGACACGGGCCAGACAGAGAGACCCGCCCUUCCCUGGCACUGAGUCACCCUCUCUCUCCUCAGACAGGGAUCAAGGCAGGUGGGGAGCUCUUCAGGCCUGGCGGAGGUGCCCCAGGCGCGGGGCUGCGUGAUUCAUCCUGCAGCAUGAGUCAACCUCAUUACAUAAGAGCAGAUGAAGAGCAUUCAAUUGCCACACAAGCCCAAAUCUGUCCCCGCAGACUGGGGGGCGGGGGGUGUCAGGGGGAGACCUGCCCAGAGACACGUCCUGGAAUCUCGGAAACAGCUUGGCCCCACUUGUCAUCGAUGUCUUCUUUCAUCUGUGUCUGAGGACCGUGUCCUCAGCAUCAUCAUCACUGAUGUGGUUAUAAUUUGAAACAGGCAGGAAAACUGCCUCUCAGGACGAGAAGUCAUAGGUAACUUACUUUACCUUAAAGAGAUUAGUUAGCAUCUAAGGAUUGGGGAUGUGGAAAAGCAUUGCCUUUUUUAAAAAGCGAUGUUAAAAAAUGUGGAGUUAGAUUAAAAAGCAGCUCAACAGAGGACAUAUAUGUAUUUAGCAAACAAAGGAAGAAAGAUUCUAUACCAAUUAUGUGAACUACGAUCUUCCUAAAUUUAUGACAGUGUGAGGAAUGUGCGGGCAGGGCAGGAUGAACACCUGCCCUUCCACACGGCAGCAGAGGGUCAGUAGAAAAUUUCCCUCAGCAAAGCAGCCUUCAGUGGGGGCAGCAGGUUAAAGAUCUGGCGUUGUCACUGCAGUGGCUCUGGUCCCUGCUUUGGCGCAGGUUCGAUCCCCGGCCAGGCGAACUUUCACAUGCCGCCGUGGGUGUGGCCAAAAACAAAACAAAACAAAACAACCAAACAAGCAAAUUGGCCUUAGAAAGACCUGUGACAGGUACAGAGUUCCCAUCAUGGCUCAGUGGUUUACGAAUCUGACUGGCAUCCAUGAGGAUGCAGGUUUGGUCCCUGGCCUUGCUCAGUGGGUUAAGGAUCCGGUGUUGCUCUGAGUCGUGGCGUAGGUUGGCAACCAUAGCUCCAAUUCGGACUCCUAGCCUGGGAACCUCCAUAUGCCAUGGGUGUGGCCCUAAAAAG
Molecule: long non-coding RNA, 3871 nt
Filed under: Sus scrofa (pig)
Lineage: Eukaryota; Metazoa; Chordata; Mammalia; Artiodactyla; Suidae
Description: lncRNA (ENSSSCG00000055428.1)
Source: RNAcentral